GCGAAAUAAAGAAAUUCUGGGGGAGAAAAGGUGAGAAAGUAUGGUUGAUAGAUGUUUUUCGUUCUUAUUUCUUAAUUAUUCCAGAUUUAUAUCUUUUUAAUUAUUUUAUUAAAA
Molecule: non-coding RNA, 114 nt
Filed under: Aureoumbra lagunensis
Lineage: Eukaryota; Pelagophyceae; Sarcinochrysidales; Sarcinochrysidaceae
Source: RNAcentral